UCGGGAAUAUUGCGCAAUGGAGGAAACUCUGACGCAGUGACGCCGCGUGCAGGAAGAAGGUUUUCGGAUUGUAAACUGCUUUAGACAGGGAAGAAAAAGACAGUACCUGUAGAAUAAGCUCCGGCUAACUACGUGCCAGCAGCCGCGGUAAUACGUAGGGAGCAAGCGUUAUCCGGAUUUAUUGGGUGUAAAGGGUGCGUAGACGGGAAAAUAAGUUAGUUGUGAAAUCCCCAUGCUUAACAUGGGAACUGCAACUAAAACUGUUUUCUUGAGUGCUGGAGAGGAAAGUGGAAUUCCUAGUGUAGCGGUGAAAUGCGUAGAUAUUAGGAGGAACACCAGUGGCGAAGGCGACUUUCUGGACAGUAACUGACGUUGAGGCACGAAAGUGUGGGGAGCAAACAGGAUUAGAUACCCUGGUAGU
Molecule: ribosomal RNA, 421 nt
Filed under: uncultured Acetivibrio sp.
Lineage: Bacteria; Bacillati; Bacillota; Clostridia; Acetivibrionales; Acetivibrionaceae
Description: bacterial SSU rRNA
Rfam family: Bacterial small subunit ribosomal RNA
Source: RNAcentral